Long non-coding RNA from Anguilla rostrata (American eel), 1228 nucleotides. RefSeq lists it as uncharacterized. Lineage: Eukaryota; Metazoa; Chordata; Actinopteri; Anguilliformes; Anguillidae. The transcript has 4 exons. The record is from RefSeq and is a predicted model, not a curated record.
GUGAGCGAUUGAUGCCUCCUGCUGUGGCCGGGGCGGCUGGCUAUCUCUCUCUCUCUUUCUCUCUCUUUCCAGUCUGGGACGGGCGACGGGGGGCGGCCCGCGGUGCCGUUCGAAUUCGCCUCUGCCGGCUCCAGACAGCUCCACUGUUCCCGCCCUAGCAGGGGGCGGUAAUCACAUCAGGCCCCCUGACGAGGCGCCAUUGAAUUCGGCUUCGGUCCCCUUAAGAACGCGGCACCCAGAAGCCCUUUCUUCCGCGCCGUGACGUUUACAAUGAGGUAUCUGUGCUCUCCUCGCUUCCUGGUCUUUUUUUUUUUUUUUUUUCGCAAUUCGUUUUUCGAUACGGAUAGACGAUUUUACGUCGGGGCACACACAAAAAUUUUUUGACGUUCUUACGAUGCAGAAACGUUACCUCUGGUCCGUUGAUGAUAUAGUGUAUAAAACAGUCUCUUUUGAAUGAGAUUUUGAAACACUAGAGAUUUUUUUUUUACACUAGAGAUAUUAGCUUAGCAGAUAAAGAAAACCUGUUGUGGAAAAACACAGUUGCAGGAGUUUUACUCUGAACCAUACAGAAUGUGAUGUAUUUUACAUUUUGUAGUUUUUUUUUUAGUGCUUAAAUUGCAAUACCCGAGUUACGCAGGGGAACACACGCAGAACCGAACACAUUCAGAAGCAGUCAAGGAAUCGGGGGCAUUUGAUAAAACACAAUUAUUUAAAUAAGUUACCUGCUGUGCAGUUCAUUGUCAGGCCCUUUUCCUCUUUUUCUAGCGAAAAACAGAAGGGCGGUGGUCUCGAAAAUGGGAUGCUACCACUUUAAGGCAAGAAGUCCAAGCGAUAUCCUUUCGAAUACUCUCAAUCGAUUCAUGCAGACUCCUACGAUCGCGGAACUGAAACUGCAGCACGAACAGGGGAGGACGCACCUAUUCCAGUAGCACAAUGCCGAGAAGGACAGCCGGGGUCCUGGACCACCAACGGAAAAUUGGCAGUUUGGGGCAACGGUCGUGGGCCACGAUGUCUCCCCGGGAGACACAAAGCCAGGAUUGGAGGAUGCGGGACAGCCAGAACAACAGCGGGCUGAAGCAGAUUGACAACGAUUACAGACUGGAGGUGCUUGCAAAAUCUUCCCAGGAGGAGGCGCGGAGGAGUCCACACAACACAGGGUGUGCCGUGCUCCACGGAGGUCAGACCUGGAGAGCAUGGAGGAGGAGGAGGAGGAGGAGGACCAGGAGGA